AUAACUUUGUGAAACUACUCUAGGCGGUGGAUCACUCGGCUCGUGUGU
Molecule: ribosomal RNA, 48 nt
Filed under: Brachidontes mutabilis
Lineage: Eukaryota; Metazoa; Mollusca; Bivalvia; Mytilida; Mytilidae
Description: partial 5.8S rRNA
Source: RNAcentral